Molecule: long non-coding RNA, 386 nt
Filed under: Homo sapiens (human)
Lineage: Eukaryota; Metazoa; Chordata; Mammalia; Primates; Hominidae
Description: HSALNT0385069
Source: RNAcentral
UCUUCUGAGAUCUGUUUGGUCAUCACCAUGAGAAGACUAUACCUCAGGUAGACACUAUUCUUUCUCCCAGGUAACCUGGAUCCCAAAAUGAGAACAGAAGAACCACUUCAUGUGACUUGAACCAGAUCUGAAAUCUGAAGUGAAGCCCAGAAGAGUGUAGCUGAAGACAAGUGAACCUACUUGACCAGCAAACGCACAUAUCAAAGGGCCCCCUGGCUACUAAGGAAGAUGAAUGAAGAAAGGGCCCAUACAUGGACACCUACUUCAUAGUAAAAUCUGAGGACAUGAAGUAUAAAGAGGACAUUCUGAACACUUCAAGAGACAGCACCCUUAGCUAGGCAUGCAGACAGGAUCUCACUGUCACCCAGGCUGGAGUACAGUGGCUC